GCAACUCGAGUGCAUGAAGCUGGAAUCGCUAGUAAUCGCGGAUCAGAAUGCCGCGGUGAAUACGUUCCCGGGUCUUGUACACACCGCCCGUCACACCAUGGGAGUCGAUAACGCCCGAAGUCAGUGACCCAACCUUAUAGGAGGGCGCGGCCGAAGGUGGGUUCGAUAAUUGGGGUGAAGUCGUAACAAGGUACC
Molecule: ribosomal RNA, 195 nt
Filed under: uncultured bacterium
Lineage: Bacteria
Description: partial 16S ribosomal RNA
Rfam family: Bacterial small subunit ribosomal RNA
Source: RNAcentral